This 2031-nucleotide long non-coding RNA is filed under the name Hordeum vulgare. RNAcentral describes it as "long non-coding RNA (HVUL_LNC007573)". The record is from RNAcentral. Lineage: Eukaryota; Viridiplantae; Streptophyta; Magnoliopsida; Poales; Poaceae.
UUAUGUGAUGUUAUAUGAUGGAUGAUUUUAAUUUAACUUGAAGUUUUCUUGAUUUGAAUAUAAAAUAGUAUUGGAUUUAAUAUUGAACAAAUAAUUAGGUUGAAAAGGCCCAACAAAUAGAAAAAAACCAAGUUCUGGAACGAAAAGUUGUUGAAUUUAAAAAUGAAAAAAGGCCAAAAUUGAAACUGGACCAAAUGUAUUUGAGCAAUAAAAGGCCGGGACCCAAAUUAUAAGGAUACAAAAAGAAUUUAAAAAAUAUAUAUUAAAGUGGUUGUAAAUAGGUUAAGGGCCAAAAAGAAGCCCAAUAAAAAAAAGCUCAAGAAAAUAAAAUCAGCCCAUGUGAUCAAUUGAAAUGGGUUGGACUGAUUUCAACCUUGACGUUUUGAUUUCAUCGUAAUUUUGCCACGUAGGACUGGGUUAGAUUGCCAAUGAUAAUUUAAGAUCGUCGUAAAGGUUACGACGAUCCAGGAAUCAUCGUAAAAGUUACGACGAUUUCGAUCAAAACGUCGAUGUUGUUCAUUUCUGACGCUCUGUUUUCGACGCUUGGUUUUUCGUCGUAAGAUCGUUGUAAACUAAAAACCGUGACGAUGUAGCGACGAAAAUAUAACGUUGUGUAUUAGCAUAUUCCUUGUAGUGAUUUACAGCAGCUGCUCGUCCUCCUACUUCAUGUCUCCAUCCGCAUGGAAAAGGGCAAGUUAGUUGAAUGGCAUGCACAUGAUAAAACUGCAAGGCAUAUAUAUUUAUCUACAUAAACUGCAUGUGAACACAUGUGAUGAAUUAAUGACUGAAAUCUGUACUGUACUGGUAGGUGUUUAUGCACCAAUAUGUACAUGUAAACACUUCACCGGAUAUUUCCUUCCAAACAUUGUAAGGCAAAGAUAGAUAGUGAUACUACACAUACUGAAGGUAAACCGUAUUGACUUGAAAGCAAUAAAUUGAUUGUAUAUGUUUGCCAACAUAAAAUUCUACUCAAGUUUUCACGCACAUUUACAUGUUCUGAGAUACGGAAUGCAACUGGUUUGUAGAAGAAAGAGAUUAUUUCCUAUGAAAUGCACACCUUAUAAUUAAAUAAAAUCAUUGUUGAGCAAUAGAUAAAAAUAGUAUCUCCUGAGUUGUGACAAUCCUAGAUUGAUAUUAUAGCUUUUCAACUCAUGUUAAAUAAACAUAGCAGAUUACAACACUUGGAAAGGAUAGAGAUUUCUAUUUAUAAAUAGAUAGGAGUAGAGAAAGAAGCACCUCUGAGUGGUACGCUCAUUGCUUGUAUACUUUUAUCUGAUGGGUUGUGCAGCAAGAUGAACCAUUUUCUUUAUCUGAUGGGUUGUGCAGCAAGAUGAACCAUUUUCUUCAGACUCCUCCAAAUAGAGUAUGCAACACCUCCUACUAAAUGUAAUGUAAAAAUGAGAUGCAACUAAAGAGAAGAUACACAAGUAAUGUAAUCAAUUUAAAAACAAAAUUAGCACAUGUGUGCGCCCAUCAAAAGCACAUUCAAAUAUGUACAGACUGGUAAUAUAUAACAGAGCUCAUUCACAUUGAUUUGUACGGCUUCGGUACAACCGUGUCAUUGAAUAUCAAGGAAAUAGUAAAAUAUUGCACAAAGGGAUGAUGCAAUACAUAUCAUGUUUGUAAACAAGUUCACUCUUCCAGAUGCUCAAGUCCUACGCAUGAGAUAACAUGGCAAAGAAUCAACGCGAACAUUCAUUGCGGACCAUGAGAAACAACAGUAUAAAAAAGAGUUCACUUUUUUUUCUUACAGUAUAGGAUAAAUUUAAUAGCUUGUUCAACGGCACCAACCUAAAAGUGCUACCAAAUCUGUGAUGAAAUGAAUAGUAAAAGGAACGCUUCCUUAGAAAGCAAGUCACCAAUUUUUAUCUGUUGUAAAGAGAAAAAAGAACGCUUUCUUAGAAAAAUGAACAAACCCAAAAACAAGCUUUGCACAACCAACUCUUGGUGCCCCUGGAGCGUAACAAGUUCUAUGGGCCUGUAAUGACCAUGAUUUCCAUCGAGUUUUUUCUCUUCUGUAGAUAUGCUCUC